Long non-coding RNA from Cyprinus carpio (common carp), 327 nucleotides. NCBI's taxonomy places the organism in Eukaryota, Metazoa, Chordata, Actinopteri, Cypriniformes, Cyprinidae. The record is from Ensembl.
AUGCAUGAACUCAUCAAAAUUUUUACCGGCAGGCAAUACGCAGCUGCCCUGGCAUCAUAUGUCGGACUGACGCAGCGGAUACUGCUGCUGUUGCCUGCUCUGUGCCCUCUGAUCCUCCCCCGGUCCUGGCCUCUGCUGUGGGUCUUUUCUUCCAUCCGUUGUCAUCUAAGCGCUAGGUCGUUACUGGAUAAAUUAAACUCAGUCCAUUUCUCCUUUACUCCGUACUUCAGUCUUCUGCUGAUAUUGUCGGAUCAUGAAAGACAAGCUAUGCUCCCCAUUCACAGCUGUUACGCAACACGUGACUCAGUCCAUAAAAGCGAUCAUUAA